GCCUGGGUGGCUCAGUCGGUUGAGCGACCGACUUCAGCUCAGGUCACGAUCUCGCGGUCCGCGAGUUCGAGCCCCGCGUCGGGCU
Non-coding RNA from Felis catus (domestic cat), 85 nucleotides. The record is from Rfam. NCBI's taxonomy places the organism in Eukaryota, Metazoa, Chordata, Mammalia, Carnivora, Felidae.